RNAcentral lists this long non-coding RNA (439 nucleotides) under Rattus norvegicus (Norway rat). Its description in RNAcentral is "long non-coding RNA NONRATT018695". The record is from RNAcentral. Lineage: Eukaryota; Metazoa; Chordata; Mammalia; Rodentia; Muridae.
AGGCCUUUAGAUCCUUCAAUCCUGUCUGCAUCUCCUCCAUUGUGGGCCCAGUUCGCAGUUCAAUGAUUGGCUCUGAGCAUUCACCUCUGUAUUUUUCACUCUCUGGAAGGCCUUCAAAGAAAACGGUAAUAUCAGUAUCCUGUUCACUAUUCACUCCUUCGCAUCAAAAAUAUAACGGCGUUUGGUGGCUGUAUGUAUAUGGACAAGAUCCUCAGUUGGAGGAGGCUAUCCAGGGCCAUACCUUAAGUGUCUACUCUAAAUUUUGCCUUCAUAUAACUUCCCUGCAAUAUUUUUGAUCCUGCUUCUAAAAGGACUGAGGCAUCCACACUUUUGUCAUCGUUCUUCUUGAACUUCCUUUGGUCUGUGGAAUGUAUCUUCAGUAAUCAUGAUUUUGGGCUUAUAUCCAUUUAACAACCAUUGUACAAUGUGCUGUUUUUUU